This 120-nucleotide ribosomal RNA is filed under the name Vibrio alginolyticus 12G01. RNAcentral's name for it is "partial 16S ribosomal RNA". It matches the Rfam family "Bacterial small subunit ribosomal RNA", at positions 1412 to 1533 of the family's 1533-position model. Lineage: Bacteria; Pseudomonadati; Pseudomonadota; Gammaproteobacteria; Vibrionales; Vibrionaceae. The record is from RNAcentral.
GGGCUGCAAAGAGUAGGUAGUUUAACCUUCGGGGGGACGCUUACCACUUUGUGGUUCAUGACUGGGGUGAAGUCGUAACAAGGUAGCGCUAGGGGAACCUGGCGCUGGAUCACCUCCUUA